CUGUUCCGUUCAUUGUUCUCUGUGAACAAUAUGAUGGUAUUAAAAGAAAUCAGAAAGCCGUUCUCUUUGUGUAGGGACACGGUCCCGCUAAAACAAUCGAUCUUUCUCGCAUUCAACACGGUGACAUAUGCACGUGCGCAAGACAAAGUGUUUUUGCGUCACAAUCGUUUCUAACCUCUGCUGCAAUUUCGCGAGAUCGAUCAACUCUGUUCGACAAGUGCGUUAUUUCGAUUGCACGCGCGAAGGAACGAGCUGAACCAUGUCAGACGAUCGAGAAAAUGUCAGAGACCAAGUGGCGGUUGAUAGCGAGAGAGUGAUCAACGAUCGCACGGACGCCGUUCACGGGAGACUUCAGCCGAUGAUUGUUCGUUGCGACAAUUGUGACAGUUUUAUCGUGGGACACAACAUAAGAAACGCUAUAAAGAACCAUUUCAACAGUUCUCAUCCAUCAAACAGAUCCUGUAACGAUUGCGAAGGCAAGAUCUUUGUGUAUAGAACGAUAACGAAAGUAAAUGCGAGGGAAAUAUCGCAUGAAUUUGAAUAUCACAAGUGCAGUCGUAAAGAGAAACCGAAAAAAGGUGCGUCAAAAGAAAAAAAAACAUUAGCGUAGCUUUGUAAUGUACGAAGUACACAAGAUUUCUCUAAGAAUCUCUCUAACGAAAGAAUGUGAUUGUUCAAUUAGAUCCUGAAUUGUCUCUCUAUUUGCAUUUCUCUCUUCAAUAACGAGAUAUAUAGAAAUAUAGUGAAAUUUUAUAUAUCUAUUGAUAAAUAUCUUUUUUUUACAAUGUUAUAUAUAUAUGUAUACAUUUUGUAACUUGUAUUUAUGACAGAUGAUGCUCAGACACACAUAAAAACUAAUAUUUAUUUUUAUGGGUGAAACAAAAGAAGAAAUGACUGUUUAUAAUUUUGUUAGAGAAAGAAAAUAUUUAUAUUAUUAAACUUUGAGCUUAUAAAUGCACACAAAAGUCUCAAGCACAAAAGGUACAUAAAUUUGUACAUACUGUGUUUAUUUUUGUAUAUUUUUUAACAUCCAUUUGUAAAAUACAUUGUGUAGACCUGAUGUAAUUGAUAAGAAAUUUGUAACAAAACUCACAUGAUCUUCAAUAUUGUAUUCACGUAUGAAGUCCUUAUUACAAUUUAUGUGAUAAACACAUGUAAUAUUGAGUUUGUAAGUGUAAAAUGGUGUUAAAGAUGAUACCUGAAGAGUUUCAGUAAAUUAAAGAUACAAAUAAAAGAAUGUAUGAAUGUACACAUUUAUAUGAAGUUUUCUCACAAACUAUCUCAUAAAGACAACAGUGUAUAAUCUUUUUAGUCAUACAUACAGUGAUAUAAUUUUUCUUAUAUACUUUGACAUAUAUAUAUAUAUAGCCAUAAAUAUAGUAUUUAUCUUCUAAAUUCGGUAUUUUCUCAUGUGCUCACACAUAUAUAAUUCUUAUCCGUAUGUGUGAAUAUAUGUACACACACACAAAAAUGUAUAUGCACACACAUAUAGACAAAACUAGAACAAAGAAGAUACAACAAACAUGCAUACAAAUUGUUCAUACAAAGAGAGUGUAAUUGUAAGAAUUAUAUGUAAUAAUUCACACGUGUGCACAUACAUAUAUGCGUAAGUUAAAAAAGAUUGUUACGUUUUUGGUUUAGCUUUAAUGUGUAAAAACUGCAAAUAUGUUUCAUAUCAACAUAUAUAUAUAUAUAUGUAUACAUAUUCGCUUAAUUCUUUAAUUGUACUGACAAUUCUUCAAUUGUCGCUAAUGUAUUUAAUAAAUUAGUGAAGUAUAGUAUGUUUAACACAUAUAAGAAUAUUCACAGUCAUGCUGCGUUCUAUAAAGCUUCAAAUAAUCCGAGCGCAAAAUUACAUAUAAACGUGCCGUGACACAUGUUGUACGCCGUAAUAUAAAAAAUUCAAAAAAUUUGAAAGAAUAAUAGUUUCGAAAUGUAUCUCACGUAUAAAAUUAUAUCACGUGUUAUAAUACUAUUAUACUGUAAUUACAGUAGUGUCCGUGACUACGCGCAUAUCUUUCAACGCGUUUUCUUGCCCAUUUUUCCAUUCUUGCGCCUUCUCCGCGUUUCGAUGCUCAGAAGACGCGAUUCGGAAAGCUAAAUAACUCCGUCUUCGUUAUUUGUACAUGAACUUCGUUCCAAAGUUUUGUGCAAAUAGAAAGACACUACUGUAUUAUAAACAGUGUAAAUGCAUUUAACAAUUGUUAAAAUAAUUUACAAUAUAGUUUUUUUAAUUUAAGACUAGUCAUGAUAGGUUUUUCAGUUUCUUUUUUUCUUUUUUAAUUAUUAUUUCCAACACUGACUACGUUUUUUUAUCACAUUCAUUUUACAAAAAAGGAAUCUCUUAUAUCACACUCAUAUAUCUUCUAGACAUUUAUACGAUCUGCAUAGCUCGAUUUCCUCUAUUCGCGUAAAAUGUAUAUUCUCACGUAUAGAUCUAUGAAAAUAUUAAAACUUAUUUAACAAAUCAUCAGAUCAAACUGUGUGUUACUUGAAGCCUCUGAAUGCUAAGCUAAUACUGGCCCCAGAGAGAUAUAUAUGUAUAUUAUAAGUAAUAGACAAUUUGUACCAAAACUUGGGAUAUGCACGCAGGUUUUAUGACACGUUUUCUCACAUAAGUGAAUUUCAAUGUGAGAUAUAAAUUAAAAAAAGUAUGUACAUUUUGAGGAAGAAAAAUUAUUCUCAUAGAGUAUCGCGUUUGUAGAUUACCAAGAGAAAACCAAGCAUGCUUAUCCCAUAAACAAAGAUAUUUCACUACUCGGAACUCGACAUCACAAGUAGAUUCCAGUGUAGCAAAAAUGACUAUUAAUAUAUUAAUUGUUUUGUUUAAUUAUAGCUAUAAUUAAACAGAAUAAUAAAGAGCCUCAUUAGACAUACGAUCUUCUAACAAAACAGAAAAAAAAUAACUAAAACGGAAUAAAUAGACUUAAGAGGCCAGAUUUAAAACAACAAUCUUGCCCUACUAAUAUGGCUGCCUGUAUAGUUCACAAAAUUAUAAAACAUGACAAACUAGAAUAAUGUAUAUGCAAUUUAGCUAAUAGAUUUUGUACACAGGCUGUCACACACAGAAUUGUGGCAAACGUCGAAAAAUUGGCAUUUUCACACAGAACGUAAACAAGAUGUUCUGUUUUUGUUUUGCUUAUAAAAAAUAUACUACACUUCGUUCUUUCCUGCGUCAUAUUUUGUAUCUUUACAUAUAUCUAGCUUGUUACGCA
This is a long non-coding RNA of Pseudomyrmex gracilis, 3215 nucleotides long. RefSeq lists it as uncharacterized. Lineage: Eukaryota; Metazoa; Arthropoda; Insecta; Hymenoptera; Formicidae. The transcript has 3 exons. The record is from RefSeq and is a predicted model, not a curated record.